UACGUAGGGUGCAAGCGUUACUCGGAAUUACUGGGCGUAAAGCGUGCGCAGGCGGUUAUGUAAGACAGAUGUGAAAUCCCCGGGCUUAACCUGGGAACCGCAUUUGUGACUGCAUAGCUGGAGUACGGCAGAGGGGGAUGGAAUUCCGCGUGUAGCAGUGAAAUGCGUAGAUAUGCGGAGGAACACCGAUGGCGAAGGCAGUCCCCUGGGCCUGUACUGACGCUCAUGCACGAAAGCGUGGGGAGCAAACAGG
This 253-nucleotide ribosomal RNA is filed under the name uncultured bacterium. Its description in RNAcentral is "partial 16S ribosomal RNA". It matches the Rfam family "Bacterial small subunit ribosomal RNA", at positions 524 to 776 of the family's 1533-position model. The record is from RNAcentral.